UUUUCAGUGCUCUCUGCACUUGGCGGUUUGCUUGAGACGUUUCAUGACCCAAGUAGGUAACAGCAUCAAUGCUAGAAGAGGGUGGGGUUUGUAGAGAGGAAGAAGAGGAGGAGCAGAAAGAAAACGGGUUCUUGGUGCUCUCUGAGCAUCACUGUUUUCUGGCAGACAUUUAAUGAUCCAACAGCACCAGUGCUGGAAGGGAGACGGGU
Notechis scutatus (mainland tiger snake) is the source of this 209-nucleotide non-coding RNA. The record is from RefSeq and is a predicted model, not a curated record. Lineage: Eukaryota; Metazoa; Chordata; Lepidosauria; Squamata; Elapidae.